This 484-nucleotide ribosomal RNA is filed under the name uncultured bacterium. RNAcentral describes it as "partial 16S ribosomal RNA". It matches the Rfam family "Bacterial small subunit ribosomal RNA", at positions 30 to 507 of the family's 1533-position model. The record is from RNAcentral.
AUUGAACGCUGGCGGCAGGCCUAACACAUGCAAGUCGAGCGGAUGACGGGAGCUUGCUCCUUGAUUCAGCGGCGGACGGGUGAGUAAUGCCUAGGAAUCUGCCUGGUAGUGGGGGACAACGUUUCGAAAGGAACGCUAAUACCGCAUACGUCCUACGGGAGAAAGCAGGGGACCUUCGGGCCUUGCGCUAUCAGAUGAGCCUAGGUCGGAUUAGCUUGUUGGUGAGGUAAUGGCUCACCAAGGCGACGAUCCGUAACUGGUCUGAGAGGAUGAUCAGUCACACUGGAACUGAGACACGGUCCAGACUCCUACGGGAGGCAGCAGUGGGGAAUAUUGGACAAUGGGCGAAAGCCUGAUCCAGCCAUGCCGCGUGUGUGAAGAAGGUCUUCGGAUUGUAAAGCACUUUAAGUUGGGAGGAAGGGGUGUAGAUUAAUACUCUGCAAUUUUGACGUUACCGACAGAAUAAGCACCGGCUAACUCUGUG